RNAcentral lists this transfer RNA (71 nucleotides) under Ovis aries (sheep). It matches the Rfam family "tRNA". Rfam says of the family: Transfer RNA (tRNA) molecules are approximately 80 nucleotides in length. Their secondary structure includes four short double-helical elements and three loops (D, anti-codon, and T loops). Further hydrogen bonds mediate the characteristic L-shaped molecular structure. tRNAs have two regions of fundamental functional importance: the anti-codon, which is responsible for specific mRNA codon recognition, and the 3' end, to which the tRNAs corresponding amino acid is attached (by aminoacyl-tRNA synthetases). tRNAs cope with the degeneracy of the genetic code in two manners: having more than one tRNA (with a specific anti-codon) for a particular amino acid; and 'wobble' base-pairing, i.e. permitting non-standard base-pairing at the 3rd anti-codon position. Lineage: Eukaryota; Metazoa; Chordata; Mammalia; Artiodactyla; Bovidae. The record is from Rfam by way of RNAcentral.
UCCCUGGUGGUCCAUGGUUAGGGCUUAGCGUUUUCACUGCUGUGGUCAGGGUUCAAUCCCCAGUUGGAGAA